ACACGAUGACUAUGAGUAUUUGGAGUCAAAAACUGUGUUGUAUGUUCAUACUCUUGUGGGUUUUAUGCCUAAGGUGUAGAAUUUACGCCGCCGAAUUCCACGCUGAGUUGCAACAAAAUACAACAGUGGAAAAUGGCGAAGAAGAAGACGCACAUACGGUUUACGACGCGGAUACUAAGAAACAAGAUGUAGCAUGGUGUAAUAGCACAGCAGGUAUAUGUUCCAUAUCAUUGUGGUCCGUAUCAUUACUUAGUAUAAGAAAUGUCGUUACCGGUUAUGAUGCGUCAGUCCGGUUCAUGAAACAAAACGUGGAAGCUGUUUGUCUGCAGAUCGAACUGAAUGCUCAGAACAAUGCCAGCACAAUCGAAUAAGGUACGAUGAUAACUGUUGUCGGUGCUCGUGUCGAAAAGGAUAUGGAAUUGGAAAAGAUAGAAUAAGCUGCCUAAAAACUUCAUGGACACCAUGGGAGUCGUGGACGUCAUGUUUGAGCACAGAAUGGGGAGGACUUGAAACACGAAGCAGACGAUGUCGUACAAAACAUGCAGCAGAUGCGACAGGAAGAUGCGUAGGCGCUGGAAGUCAAUCAAGAACAUGCAGCAAAAUAACUAAACGUGAGCCACAAACGUCCGUGAUUAUAUUGCGCACUUUUUGUUUGGCUAUUUUAAGAAACCUGCUAUCC
Non-coding RNA from Ciona intestinalis (vase tunicate), 679 nucleotides. NCBI's taxonomy places the organism in Eukaryota, Metazoa, Chordata, Ascidiacea, Phlebobranchia, Cionidae. The record is from RefSeq and is a predicted model, not a curated record.